RNAcentral lists this ribosomal RNA (546 nucleotides) under uncultured Nitrososphaerota archaeon. RNAcentral's name for it is "uncultured thaumarchaeote partial 16S ribosomal RNA". The record is from RNAcentral. Lineage: Archaea; Thermoproteati; Nitrososphaerota.
UACAACGCACUACCUGUUCAUAGUAGUCGUUGCUGUCAACAGCACACUGCUCACCAUCAACGCAGGGGACUACAUCUUCUACACAGACUGGGCGUGGACGUCCUUCGUGGUGUUCUCGGUGUCGGCCACGACGAAGCAUGCUGUAGGCGCAAUAUACUACAUGUUAAUGCCAGGGUUUUCAGGCACCACAACCUAUUACGACAUAUCAUGCACCAUCCCAAAUCUGGUGCCGAAGCGUCCACGUCUUCUCCUUUGAUACCUCUGAGACAUCGUUCGGCGGCCAGCGUCAACAAGCACGCUGCCCUACUAUUUUGCGGGUCGCUGGCUGGCCCAUCCUCCCCCCUGUUACACAUGGUACACCUUUUGCCUGUAAGGGACCCGCUCGUGGUGGCCUUCAAGUAUCCGAGACCGACUCUGCCCGCGUACCUGACGCUUAUAGAGCCUCAGGUAGGGAAGUUCUACAACUCGCCUGUCGCCCUGGGUUCAGGUGCCGGUGCAGUGCUAACGGUACCCAUCGCUGCGUUGGGUGAAAAACUAAACACGUGG